CCCCUACUCGCCCCCCCCAUUCUGAGGCUCAGCCCUCCUCCGCGCCCACCAUCUCGAGGCUCCCGGACUGUAAGGGACCCCUGCAGUCCCCAGAGCUGAGGCCGGCGGGGGCAGAGACUAUGAGGCAAGCAGCCCAUCGACCCAGGCCUCCUUAGGACCAGCCUGCAGCCCAGCAAGCAGAAGAGAGCAGCAGAGAGGGAAGCAGGAGAUAAAGGACCACAGCGGACCAGUGGGGAUCCCCCCCAGCAGCACCUGAGGACCCUAGCCAGGCAGAGGGGUCGUGACGGAUGGCCAGACUCACAGAAGAUGACAGACACACAGCCACACCAAUGCACACAGCUGCACAGCACUGACAUACUCGGAUACAACCAGUGACAGCAUCACACACUGCCACAGCCCUGCAAUACAGACACCCACACGCACACAGAAACAACUGGUAACUCUGAAACAGGCAGACAGUGACACACAGCACCACUCCCCUCAACACACAUAAGUGGGGACACCCACCCUCCAGACACACACAAGCCAGCCUUGACCUGCAGGGACAGACCUGGAGACAUACGCACCCCCUCACCCAGGCACUGCUGUCCGUGGCCUCUGCACACCCUCCCUGCCCCCACGGGGACACCCUCGCUGCUUCACAUACUCGCACACGCAUACAGCCACCAGCAAACAUAGCUCACAUACCCCCGGCACCAGCUCCGGCAGCCCCGACGCCUUCUGCAGCCUCCUUUGUGGGAGGGGAAGAGCUCAGCCAGCCUUGGAUGGAGCCUCGGUGAAGCCAAGCGCUCAGAGGGGAGAGGGGCUGGCCUGGCAUGACCCUUGCCAGCCCCCUCAGUUGGCUGGGUGAUGUUCCCCAGUCUGGGUUCUGGGGCCCCUUGGCAACACCAUGGAGCAACUGACAACCCUCCCACGGCCUGGGGACCCCGGAGCCAUGGAGCCAUGGGCACUGCCUGUCUGGCAGAGCUGGACUCCGGGCCAGGGGGGCGAACCUGGGGAUAUAUCCCCAAACGUUGCUGAUACUCCUCCGGCAGCUCUGCAGGUUAGAGAACUGAGGCUUGAGGAGAGCUUCAAGCCCAAAGGAGCCUGGAGCUCCGGGCCGAUGGGGGCCAUUGACCCUGAAGGAGCAAAGGCUGGGCUGCCCGGCCUGGGACAGCAAGCAGCAAGCUCUGGACCUGGCUGCCCGAGGCUGGAGGAUGAGGAGGUGGAGCCUUUCCCUAAGGCCAAGCUGAACAUGGGCUUCGGGGACAGGCCCAAUCCGGAGCUGCUGAGGGCCCUGGGGGAGCUGCAGCAGCGCUGUGCCAUCCUUAAGGAGGAAAACCAGAUGCUGAGGAAGAGCAGCUUCCCUGAGACGGAGGAGAAGGUGAGGAGGCUGAAGCGGAAGAAUGCAGAGCUGGCGGUCAUUGCCAAGCGCCUGGAGGAGAGGGCUCAGAAGCUGCAGGAAACGAACCUGAGGGUGGUGAGUGCCCCGGUGCCCCGGCCGGGGGCCACCUUGGAGUUGUGCCGGAAGGCUCUAGCCCGCCAGCGAGCCCGGGACCUCAGCGAGACAGCCAGUGCACUGCUGGCCAAGGACAAGCAGAUUGCCGCCUUGCAGCGGGAGUGCAGGGAGCUGCAGGCCAGGCUCACCCUGGUGGGCAAGGAGGGUCCCCAGUGGCUCCACGUGCGGGACUUCGACCGGCUGCUUCGAGAGUCCCAGCGGGAGGUGCUGCGGCUGCAGCGGCAGAUCGCCCUGCGCAACCAGCAGGAGCCGUCCCCGCCGUCCCGGCCCCUGGGCUCUGCUGCCGGGGCCAGAGCAGGGGCGCCGGCUCCUGGGGCUCCUGGAGAGGCCACGACCCAGGAGUAUGUGGACAACCCACCUGUGGUUCUAGGGGAACCAGAGAAACAGCAGAGAGUGCAGCAGCUGGAAUCUGAGCUCAGCAAGAAGCGGAAGAAAUGUGAGAGUCUAGAGCACGAAGCCCGGAAAAAGCAGAGGCGAUGUGAGGAGCUGGAACUGCAGCUGAGAGAAGCCCAGAAUGAGAAUGCCCGCCUGGUGGAGGAGAACUCUCGGCUCAGUGGGAGAGCCACGGAGAAGGAGCAGGUGGAGUGGGAGAAUGCAGAGCUGAAGGGCCAGCUUCUGGGGGUGACGCAGGAGAGGGACUUAGCCCUUCGCAAGAGCCAGGGCCUGCAGAGCAAGCUGGAGAGCCUGGAGCAGGUGCUCAAGCACAUGCGGGAGGUGGCCCAGCGGCGGCAGCAGCUGGAGGUGGAACAUGAGCAGGCUCGGCUCAGCCUGCGGGAGAAGCAGGAGGAGGUCCGGAGGCUGCAGCAGGCCCAGGCGGAAGCCAGGAGGGAGCAUGAAGGGGCCGUGCAGCUGCUGGAGUCUACCUUGGAUUCCAUGCAGGCCCGGGUCCGAGAGCUUGAGGAGCAGUGCCGCAGCCAAACCGAGCGCUUCAGCCUCCUGGCACAGGAGCUCCAGGCCUUCCGCCUGCACCCUGGCCCCUUGGAUCUGCUCACCUCUGCCCUGGACUGUGGGGCCCCUGGGGACCACCCGCCACCCCCCUGUUGCUGCUCCACCCCACAGCCCUGCCGAGGGUCCGGCCCCAAAGACCUUGACCUCCCGCCGGGCUCCCCAGGACGCUGCACCCCAAAGUCCUCUGAGCCUGCCCCUGCCAGCCUUGCUGGGGUCCCUCGAAGGAUGGCCAAGAAGGCAGAGUCCCUCUCCAACUCCUCGCGCUCUGAGUCCAUCCACAACAGCCCCAAGUCAUGCCCGACUCCUGAGGUGGACACAGCCAGUGAGGUGGAGGAGCUGGAGGCGGACAGCGUCUCCCUGCUCCCAGCAGCGCCGGAGGGCAGCCGGGGAGGAGCCAGGAUCCAGGUCUUCCUAGCGCGCUAUAGCUACAACCCCUUCGAGGGCCCCAAUGAGAAUCCGGAGGCAGAGCUUCCGCUGACGGCUGGCGAGUACAUCUACAUCUACGGCAACAUGGACGAGGAUGGCUUUUUCGAAGGGGAGCUCAUGGAUGGCCGAAGGGGCCUGGUCCCUUCCAAUUUCGUAGAGCGGGUGUCCGAUGACGACCUCCUGACCUCCCUCCCUGCGGAGCUGGCUGAUCUGUCCCACAGCUCAGGCCCUGAGCUCAGCUUCCUGAGCGGAGGUGGGGGUGGCAGCAGCAGCGGGGCCCAGAGCAGCGGGGGACGCAGCCAGCCCAGACUGGAGGAGGAGGAUGCAGGGGGCGAGCUCAGUCUGAGUCCCCCACUGGAGGGCCUGGGCGAGCCUCCUGUGGUGCCUUACCCCCGCCGCCUGGUGGUCCUCAAGCAGCUGGCGCACAGCGUGGUGCUGGCCUGGGAGCCGCCUCCUGAGCGAGUGGAACUACACGGCUUCCACAUCUGCGUGAACGGGGAGCUACGUCAAGCCCUGGGGCCCGGGGCGGCCCCCAAGGCUGUGCUUGAGAACCUGGACCUGCAGGCCGGACCCCUCCAUGUCUCUGUGCAGGCCCUGACCAGCCGGGGCAGCUCCGACCCUCUGCGCUGCUGCUUGGCGGUGGGUGCUCGGGCCGGACUGGUACCUGGCCAGCUGCGGGUCCACCGGUUGACAGCCACAUCUGCUGAGAUCACCUGGGUGCCCGGCAAUAGCAACUUGGCCCAUGCCAUCUACCUCAAUGGGGAAGAGUGCCCACCUGCCCGCCCCAGCACCUACUGGGCCACCUUCUGCCACCUACGGCCUGGCACACCCUAUCAGGCCCGAGUGGAGGCUCAGCUCCCGCCCCGAGGGCCCUGGGAGCCAGGCUGGGAGCGGCCAGAGCAGCGGGCUGCCACCCUGCAGUUCACCACACUCCCAGCAGGCCCACCCGAUGCCCCCCUGGAUGUGCAGAUUGAGCCAGGGCCCUCCUCUGGAAUCCUGAUCAUCAGUUGGCUCCCAGUCACCAUCGAUGCGGCCGGCACCUCCAACGGUGUCCGUGUCACAGGCUACGCCAUCUAUGCUGAUGGGCAGAAGAUCAUGGAGGUGGCCUCACCCACGGCAGGCAGCGUGCUGGUGGAGUUGUCCCAGCUGCAGCUGCUGCACGUGUGCCGAGAGGUGGCUGUGCGCACGAUGUCGCCCCAUGGCGAGUCAGCCGACUCCAUCCCGGCUCCUGUCGCUCCAGCCCUGGGGACUCCGGCCUGCCUGCCAGCCGGGGUCUCCUGCCCCUCACCACGAGCAAGCCCAGAGGCCAGACCACCCCUUGCUGCUGCCUCCCCCGGGCCUGGGGACCCCAGCUCUCCUCCCCAGCGCCCUGUCCCCCACGGAACUCAAGAGCCCCUAGAGGCUUCCCCAGCAAGCCCUCCAAGAGAGACGCCGAAAGGGUCCCAAGAGGAACCUCCAGCACCUUGUGCCCAGGAGGAGGCGGGGGCAGCUGUGUUGGGCGCCUCGGAGGAGAGGAGGGCCAGCGAGCCAGCCCAGGGCGAGGGGGCCCCUGGCCCUGCAGCUCCCUCACUGGCCGAGCAGGAGGUCGAGUGGACUUCGGGAGAGGCCCGCCCGGCACCCUGCUCCACUCAGGCAGGGGUGGCCCAGCAGGUGCCGAGCCCUGAGGCAUGCCGAGGAGGAGACACGGGGUCUGGGCUGAGGCCCAAGGGUGAGAAGGAGGACGCUGCAGAGCUCGGGGUUCGUCUGGUGAACUCCCUUGUGGACCACGGCCGCAACUCAGACCUCUCAGACAUCCAGGAGGAGGAGGAGGAAGAGGAGGAAGAAGAUGAGCAGGGUUCCAGGACUUGCUCCUUCCAGAAGCAGGUCGCUGGCAACAGCAUCAGGGAGAACGGGGCCAAGCCCCCGUCCCAGCCUGACCCCUUUUGUGAGACUGACAGCGACGAGGAGAUCUUGGAGCAGAUCCUGGAGCUGCCCCUCCAGCAGUUCUGCAGGAAGAAGCUUUUUAGCAUCCCCGAGGAAGAGGAGGAGGAAGAGGAGGAGAAGCCGGGGGCAGGCUGUUCUUCCCGAGACCCUGGCCUACCUGAACCUGCGUCGCUGGGGCUGGGCUAUGACGGUGGCCAACCCCGAGGACCUGGCCAGUGUCCCUUGUCUCCUGAGCCAUGCAGGGCUGGGGACCACCUGGAGGACAUGCCUGGACUAGUUGGUGGAAGCAGCCGGAGGAGAGGAGGGGGCUCCCCUGAGAAGCCCUCAAGCCGCAGGCGGCCUCCAGAUCCCCGGGAACACUGCAGCCGGCUCCUCAGCAACGGCGGGCCCCAGGCCUCUGCACGACCAGGCCCCGCACGGGAGAGGGGUGGCCUCCCCGUGGUGGAGGGCACCAGGGGUGGACCAGAGGCUGGUGGGAGAGGGCGGUCGGGCUCUUCUCGGAGGUGCCCCCGUGGCCAGGCCCUGGAGUCCGGCCUGGCCAGCUGCCUCUCCCCCAAGUGCCUGGAAAUCAGCAUCGAAUACGAUUCGGAGGACGAGCAGGAGGCGGGCAGCGGGGGUGUCAGCAUCACCAGCUCCUGCUACCAUGGAGAUGGGGAGGCCUGGGGCACAGCACCUGUAGGGAAGUCCAGGGGGCCUGUGAAGGUCAAUUCAGGCCCCAACCCCUACCCACGCCUCACGGCCUGGGAGAAAGGGGAGCCAGAGCGGAGAGGCCGCAGUGCGACUGGCAGAGCCAAGGAGCCACCCUCCCGGCCAGCAGAGACUGGAGAGCCCAGAGGGCAGGACAGCUCUGGGCGGAGGGGCCCCCAGAGGAGAGGGGCCCGAGCCCCCAGACCAGGCACCACCGAGCUAGCCCCUCCAAGGAGCCCCCCGGAAGCACUGGCUUACCAGGACCUACCUGUCAGGGUCUUCGUGGCGCUGUUUGACUAUGACCCCGUGUCAAUGUCGCCCAACCCUGAUGCUGGAGAAGAAGAGCUUCCCUUCCGGGAGGGUCAGAUCCUGAAGGUGUUUGGGGACAAGGAUGCCGAUGGCUUCUACCGGGGCGAAGGUGGGGGCCGGACAGGCUACAUCCCCUGCAAUAUGGUGGCUGAGGUGGCUGUGGACAGUCCCGCGGGGAGACAGCAGCUGUUCCAGCGGGGUUACUUGUCUCCAGAUGUUCUCGUUGAGGGCUCAGGGAACGGUCCCUUUGUGUACUCCACAGCCCGCACAACUGGGCCUCCUCCCAAGCCCCGCCGCGCCAAGAAAGCCGAGUCGGAAGGCCCCGCUCAGCCCUGUGCAGGGCCCCCCAAGCCGCACCCCUAUGCUGACCUGAAAGCUCCCCGCUCCAUGGUGGCUGCGUUUGACUACAACCCCCAGGAGAGCUCGCCCAACAUGGACGUGGAGGCAGAGCUGCCCUUCCGGGCAGGGGACGUCAUCACUGUGUUUGGGGCCAUGGACGACGACGGUUUCUACUACGGGGAAUUGAAUGGACAGAGGGGCCUGGUUCCAUCCAACUUCCUGGAGGGCCCUGGGCCUGAGGCAGGCAGCCUGGACAGGGAGCCCAGGACACCCCAGGCUGACAGCCAGAGAACGAGGAGGAGAAGAGUCCAAUGCUAGAUGGAGAUAGAUAUAUGUAGAGAGAGCAACAUGUAAGUGGGGGGACUGGCCCCCUCUGUCCCAUGUGACCCCCCCACUCCCAUGUGACCCUAUCAGACGGCACUCCUUUAUCUCACGUGCUGGAGCUGACCUAGCUUUUCCACCUUCCAGGGAAUGGGGAGGGAGAUCCUGCCACCAGCCAGAUUUGCAUAGAGGAUCGUCCCUCCCCCUCCCUGCUCCCCUUGCCUUGCCUUUACCCUGGGCAGUGCCAGCUGUCAUAGGAUUACAUGUCAUCUUUGUAUGUGAUGUCCCAUAUUAGCUGGCACCCCCUAUCCUAUAACACGUGCGGCUUAGAGAACGUUGUGUGACAUCCAUUUUAUGACUCAUCAGUGGUAUUAUGAUACUACAUGACUGUGGUAUUAUAACAUUGUGAUUGUUAUUGGUGACAGGAUGACAUUGUAAUGCUGCCAGUAUUAAUAGGCUCCCCACCCUUGUCCUCUGCAUCAUGACCUGUUAGGAUGAUCAGGUGCAUGAUUUUACUUCCAACUCCCAAUUUCUCUGCUGGGGGUAAAAGUGGGACCUUGAUUAGUUAAAAUCCAUAGAUAACUCAAAACCUCUCUUUUCUGGGCUCAGAAACCCCUCCUUUUGUUUCCCCAACACCUCUCUUCCUGGGAUGUUGUGGAAGGAGCCCUGGCCAUCAGCUCUGGCUGGUUGACAGUAGUAGCUUUGAUCUCUGGGUCCAGCAGAAGUCUUUGCCUGCCACAACACUGGGGCCUUGGAGGGGAGGGCUGGGGCCGUAGCUGUUUCCUGGCUUUGGUCUUGGCCGGGAGCCUGCCGGCUCUGGACAGCAAGUGGGGUUUGAGGAAGGGAGGGGGAGGGGAAGACGGCCAUGCCAGGUGCAGCAGGUGAGGGCGGGGGUGUGGGAAUAUAGGUGGGGGAGGCUUUCUGGUGGCUCCUCUGAUCACCCAACUCCCUGUCCUUACUACUAAGGAGCACUGCCUGGGGGGCCUGAGGCAGAGGGAGUGGAGGGUUGCCGGUGGAGGAGAUUCAGCAAGGGAGGACAUGCUACAGGGAGGGAGGGGUGGCUUGGUGGGGGGCGCUGAGUGAUGGGCAGCUGUGAGUCCCCGGCAGGCCUGCAUGCAGUCCUCUCAGAGGCCCUCAGAGGAGAGUCCAGAUCUCUGUCCCGCAGAGUGGACACCGGCUCCACUCCCUGGAGGCCCGGGGCCCUGCCCCUGCUGGCCUGGUGAGCAUGCUCCUUCCGACUAUGAGUGCUGUAGGAACUGCCUUCUCUGGAGGGGACAGUUGCUUCUAAGCAGCCCUUGUCCUUGCUCUCCCUUUGUUGGGAGGGGGACGACAUGUGAGAAGCUGAGGGCGCCCGCCCUGACGGGGAGGUCUGGAGAACUCUUGAGCUCUGUCAGCCCAGCACCCUGCAGGGAGAAGGGAAGGGGCUUGUCCUGAUUCUCAGGACUGGGUCAGCACAACACCAGGGCCCCUGGCGCCCCCAGGCUGGCCCUGUGCCCCCAGCCCUGGCAGCCUCCCCAGGAUGGGACUGGGGCAGCCACAGCGCACAAGCGGGAAGGUGCAGGGUCUCCUUUCCAAGGGGAAGCAGCUCCUCAGGAAGCUGGGCUCUGGGAAGAAGGAGUGACGCUGUGGCCCAUCCCAUGGGCAGAAGCGGCCCCCCGAGGCCAGCAGAGGCCCUUGGAUGACUGUCCCUGCUGUUCUGCUGAGUUAACACUGUGGCGCCUGGAUGGGAAUCGAAGAGUCUUGGUGACGACGGUCAGAGCUAGAUGGGUCCUUCGUGAUGAACCCUCUGGGUGGGCGCCUGCCUCUUCCAGGAGGGAAAACCGAGCCCCGCAGUGAGUGAGGAACUUGGCCAAGGUCUGGACCCAGGCUCCUGCCUCCUUGUCCACCACCCCGUCUCCUCCGGGCUCCCACAGCAUCUUGCUAGUUCCUUCUUCAGCCCUCUCACUCCCAGGACUGGGCCCUGGGGGGAGAAAGGGGCCUGUCCCCUCUGAUGGCUCUGCCUGUCCCUAUCACGUCUUCCUCCCCUGAAGGAAAGUUUGCACUGGAUUGCCCUCGAGCCCCCGCUGCGCACGGCGGGCGGGAGCGUGUAUAUAUGUACAUACUCAGUGCCUCAGCCCAGCUGCUCCAUCUCGCUUCCACCGCACAGGCCCGGGAAGGAGAAAGGCCAUGCCAAAGCGGGCCUCACCCCCCUACAUCGUGCUCCAGCCCUCCCUGCCAGGCCUCCUGGCCCCCUCCCCCCACCCGUGUGGUCCCUCCCCCAGAGCCCCAGGGGGCCAGCGGGCAGAAAGCAGGAGUUGGGUUUGCCUUAUUUUGCUCAUUGGAUUCAACUUCUCUUUUGCAUCAUUCUCCUCCGGCCCCGGUCAGAAUCCAGGGCCGGGGGAAAAGGACAGAUUUAUGCAGCUAUUUUCAUACAUUCCCUGUUCAGAGUGGGGUGGGGGUUCUCCGCCCUGCCUGUGACCACCUCAUGCCCCACCCUCAGGCUGGGUGAGUGUCUCUUUGCAUGUUUCCUUUGCUGUGGUGGGAGAUUGUUUGAGCCCCCACCCCCACCUUGGUCUCCAGGGGUGUGGAAUGGUGGGGGCAUUUGUUUAAAAAGACAUUUUAUUAUAAUAAAGUCUAUUUUCAUAAAAUCUA
Molecule: non-coding RNA, 9082 nt
Organism: Microcebus murinus (gray mouse lemur)
Lineage: Eukaryota; Metazoa; Chordata; Mammalia; Primates; Cheirogaleidae
Source: RefSeq, a predicted model, not a curated record